UACGGAGGAUUCAAGCGUUAUCCGGAUUUAUUGGGUUUAAAGGGUGCGUAGGCGGUCGGAUAAGUUAGAGGUGAAAUCCCGAGGCUCAACUUCGGAAUUGCCUCUGAUACUGUUCGGCUAGAGAGCAGGAGAGGGCGGUGGAACUCCAUGUGUAGCGGUAAAAUGCGUAGAUAUAUGGAAGAACACCAGUGGCGAAGGCGGCCGCCUGGCCUGUUACUGACGCUGAGGCACGAAAGCGUGGGGAGCAAAUAGG
RNAcentral lists this ribosomal RNA (253 nucleotides) under uncultured bacterium. RNAcentral's name for it is "partial 16S ribosomal RNA". It matches the Rfam family "Bacterial small subunit ribosomal RNA", at positions 524 to 776 of the family's 1533-position model. The record is from RNAcentral.